This 264-nucleotide ribosomal RNA is filed under the name uncultured archaeon. Its description in RNAcentral is "partial 16S ribosomal RNA". It matches the Rfam family "Archaeal small subunit ribosomal RNA", at positions 714 to 982 of the family's 1478-position model. The record is from RNAcentral.
AGACGUCUACAUUAGAUACCCCCGUAGUCCCAGCCGUAAACUGUGCGCGUUAGGUGUAUCGGUGACCACGAGUCACCGAGGUGCCGAAGGGAAACCGUGAAACGUGCCGCCUGGGAAGUACGGUCGCAAGGCUGAAACUUAAAGGAAUUGGCGGGGAGCACCACAACGGGUGGAGCCUGCGGUUUAAUUGGACUCAACGCCGGGAAGCUCACCGGAUAAGACAGCGGAAUGAUUGCCGGGCUGAAGACUCUGCAUGACUAGCUG